AUUAGUCCCUGGCCUUAUCUUAUAGUUAGGAUAGCCUUAUGCCUAUCCCACGCAUGCUUAAACUCCUUUACUGUGUUAACCUCUACCACUUAAGCUGGAAGGCUAUUGCAUUUAUCCACUACCCUCUCAUUAAAGUAAUACUUCCUGAUAUUAUUUUUAAACCUUUUUGCCCCUCUAAUUUAAGACUGUGUCCUCUUAUUGUGGUAGUUUUUCUUCUUUUAAAUCUAGUCUCUUCCUUUACUGUGUUGAUUCCCUUUAUGUAUUUAAAUGUUUCUAUCAUAUCCCCCCUGUCUCGUCUUUCCUCCAAGCUCUACAUGUUAAGAUCCUUUAACCUUUCCUGGUAAGUUUUAUCCUGCAAUCCAUGAACCAGUUUAGUAGCCCUUCUCUGAACUCUCUCUAAAGUAUCAAUAUCCUUCUGAAGGUACAGUCUCCAGUACUGCGUACAAUACUCCAAGUGAGGUCUCACCAGUGUUCUGUACAAUGGCAUGAGCACGUCUCUUUCUACUGCUAUAUAACCAAGCAUUCUGCUAGCAUUUCCUGCUGCUCUAUUACAUUGUCUGCCUACCUUUAAGUCAUCUGUAAUAAUCAUCCCUAUAUCACCUUGCCCCUGGCAGCAGCAAGUUUCACAGGGUUAUUCAUUAACAUUAGAAUUCAAAUGAAAUUUCAGUGAAUUUCACGGUAAAAAGAGAGGAACUGGAAACUUUUUUGAAGUCCGAGAUGCUUCCAGUUUGGCUACUUGGGCCCUAAAUUUUGAAAUUCACUUUGAAUUCUCACUUUGGUGAUUAACCUGGUCAGUGAGGAUACUGCCCCAGGCUAUAAAACUGUUAGUGGCUAAUUAUGACACCUUAGAAGAAUAGAUAAUUUAAAAUCAAUAUAUUGUGCCUAUAUGUUGUCAUUUAACCGUUG
Non-coding RNA from Pelobates cultripes (western spadefoot toad), 906 nucleotides. NCBI's taxonomy places the organism in Eukaryota, Metazoa, Chordata, Amphibia, Anura, Pelobatidae. The record is from the annotation of a GenBank genome assembly.